This 1037-nucleotide long non-coding RNA is filed under the name Marmota monax (woodchuck). Lineage: Eukaryota; Metazoa; Chordata; Mammalia; Rodentia; Sciuridae. The record is from RNAcentral.
UAUACUUUAUACUCAUCUCAUUGUGGGCAUUAAAUAUACAUUUAGCACCAUAAUUUUAUGCCUUAUAUGAAAAGAACUCCUCUAAGAGUGAGUGGGGCCACCUGAAAUUAGCUGUCAGUUGUAUAAACAAGCAACUGCAGUCAUCAGUGGCACAGGAGUAGUAGUGUAUCUGACACAUGGACAUAUAGUAAGGCAAUAGCCUUUUACGGAUACCUCUUCAGUUCAGUAUAAAAAUGACUGCCUUGAUGGUCAUUCUCUAUUUAAAGUAGGUCAGAUGUAAGUAACAGCAAGACCAAAAAAAAAAAAAAAUACAAGAAAGAAAAAAGAAAAAAAGUCUGUGUCUUACAGUAGGUGAAGAUUCAGAAAAUCCCAAGAGGAAUAAUUGGUACUCUACAUGACAUUAAAAUUUGCUUGGGAUUUUACAACUAAGAAUAGAAAAGUCUGGUAUAGCAAAAGGGCUUUUGCAUCAUUGCUGAUCAUAAAGAGUUACAGCCAGCUUAUCUCUUUGAAACAGGAAAAUAUAGAAAAGAAAUGCCUCAUUAAAUAGCAUUAGAAUGAAGAAUACAUGGUACACCUAUUGGGUGUUUUUCUCUAAUGUGACCGACAUAUAUUCCUAACUGUGUUUAGGUUCUUUAUAUUUUAAUUAAUCUUCAGUGACGUAAAAUCACUGGGCUUUAACAACAUUUUGAUUUCAAACCCAUUUAUGAGGUUCAGAUACAACAUGGCUUUAGGCUCUGGGCACCAUUGUGUAUGCUUUAUUGUGGUGAAUAUCAAAACAGCAGUUAAUUAUAGUAGUACCAUUUCUGUUCUUCGCCUCAUUAUCUCUGUCUUGCACUAUUAUUUUCUGUUACUGCUGGCUAUACAGCAUCAGGCCUGGCACCAAUGAAGUGUGAACACAAUGCCAGCACUGCAUUCAGCACAAGAAUAGAAAGGCAGAUGGCAGAUUUUGCUAUUUAUAGUUGGAGGCAAUCUGUCUGAGGUGAGCCCUGCUGAAAUGGCUCUUAUCAAGAAUGUUUUCAUUUAUUAAAGGGAUAAGU